RNAcentral lists this ribosomal RNA (253 nucleotides) under uncultured bacterium. Its description in RNAcentral is "partial 16S ribosomal RNA". It matches the Rfam family "Bacterial small subunit ribosomal RNA", at positions 524 to 776 of the family's 1533-position model. The record is from RNAcentral.
GACGAAGGUGGCGAGCGUUGUUCGGAAUCACUGGGCAUAAAGCGCUCGUAGGCGGCGCUGCAAGUCGGGUGUGAAAUCCCUCGGCCUAACCGAGGAACUGCGCCCGAAACUGCAGUGCUUGAGGACCAAAGGGGUGCAUGGAAUUUCCGGUGGAGCGGUGAAAUGCGUUGAUAUCGGAAGGAACGUCGGCGGCGAAAGCGAUGCACUGGUUGGUUACUGACGCUGAGGAGCGAAAGCCAGGGGAGCAAACGGG